Long non-coding RNA from Cervus elaphus (red deer), 422 nucleotides. RefSeq lists it as uncharacterized. The transcript is spliced from 3 exons. The record is from RefSeq and is a predicted model, not a curated record. Lineage: Eukaryota; Metazoa; Chordata; Mammalia; Artiodactyla; Cervidae.
UCAAUUUGACUGCAGCUAAUGCAGCUUCUAACAGAAAUACAAUUCCAGGCUUGAGGCUCUGAAGCUGGACUCUUAACCGUCCCAGAGAAGAACAUGGUCCUGAGAGUCUAGACCAGAACCUGGGUGCCUGUCCUGGACUCACAUCAUAGUCACUCUCCAUCCCUGGGCCUCAGACAUCCUGGCUGUCAAAUCAGCGGUUGCACGGGCUUCCCUCCAGCCCUGGUGGUGGACUUCUGGGACAGCAGCUCCUGGUGACAACAGAGAAUCAGAGUACACAGGGGAAACUGAGGCCCAGGAGUUUAAAUGACUUGCCCAAGAUCCUGUAGCUUCGAACUGCUAAAGCUGGGAUUUGAACCAAGCUCCGUCUCCAUCUCUGAAACCUGCCCUGUCAAUCAUGACCCUUCUUCCUCAACUGUCCAGCC